Non-coding RNA from Salmo salar (Atlantic salmon), 54 nucleotides. NCBI's taxonomy places the organism in Eukaryota, Metazoa, Chordata, Actinopteri, Salmoniformes, Salmonidae. The record is from Rfam.
UGCAUUCACUAUUAUAAGUCGCUCUGGAUAAGAGCGUCUGCUAAAUGACUAAAA